Molecule: long non-coding RNA, 709 nt
Filed under: Homo sapiens (human)
Lineage: Eukaryota; Metazoa; Chordata; Mammalia; Primates; Hominidae
Description: HSALNT0240554
Source: RNAcentral
CACAGUUCUCCUAAAUAGUUCCCCCAACUUACCUCCCGUUUUGCUGCUUUGUAGGGGCUCUGACUCAGAAGCAGGACCUGGGGCUCCCCUCUCAGGGACCCCGCUUUGCCCUUCCUCAGCAAUCCUUUUUUUCUUCCCUCUCCUUUCAGUCCAAGCAUCUUGGUGAUUGUGAUUGGCCAUGGCUUCAUAGUGCAUUCUCAUGUCAUGAGGAGCUGUGUUAGAUCAGCUCCAGGUGGGCUGACCCAUUCCACCUGCAACUCAGAGCCUGCAACAGCUGGCUGGCCUUUAAUUUCCUGAAUUGGAAACAACCCUCGCUCAAGGAAUUCGGCCAUUAUGUGAACCUCUUGGCAAAGAAAGAAAACUGCAUUUGCUUAACUCCCUGUUGGAAAAUGUGAAAAGCUAUUUGCACAUACCAUGGCCAGUUGGGACUGAAGCUCAAUUUCCAGGGCUUGCAGGCUGUUGUAGGCUGAUGAAAGGAGCAGAAGCGGCCGGUGUGUAGCUACUGGCUUAGGUGCUCAGCAGAGAGGAUCUACCUGCCCCAGCAUCAGUGGAGAUUUGUCUAAUGGUCUAAAGUUUACCCUUGGGAUGUUUGUAAAUUUAGGUCAUGAUCCUCUAGUAUAUAUAUAUAUAUAUAUAUAUAUAUAUAUAUAUAUAUAUAUAUAUAUAUAUAUAUUUAUUUAUAAAAUGGAAUAAAAUUUAUUUUUCUCCC